UGGGGAAUAUUGGACAAUGGGCGCAAGCCUGAUCCAGCCAUGCCGCGUGGAUGAAGAAGGCCCUAGGGUUGUAAAGUCCUUUCGGUGGUGAAGAUAAUGACGGUAACCACAGAAGAAGCCCCGGCUAAUUUCGUGCCAGCAGCCGCGGUAAUACGAAAGGGGCUAGCGUUGUUCGGAAUUACUGGGCGUAAAGCGCACGUAGGCGGCCUUGUAAGAUGGGGGUGAAAUCCCUGGGCUCAACCCAGGAACUGCCUUCAUGACUGCAAAGCUCGAGGAUGUGAGAGGUUGGCGGAAUUCCGAGUGUAGAGGUGAAAUUCGUAGAUAUUCGGAAGAACACCAGUGGCGAAGGCGGCCAACUGGCUCGAUACUGACGCUGAGGUGCGAAAGCGUGGGGAGCAAACAGGAUUAGAUACCCUAGUAGUCCCUGAGCGGGCUGGCAAGGCGCAU
This 447-nucleotide ribosomal RNA is filed under the name uncultured bacterium. Its description in RNAcentral is "bacterial SSU rRNA". It matches the Rfam family "Bacterial small subunit ribosomal RNA", at positions 355 to 825 of the family's 1533-position model. The record is from RNAcentral.